Molecule: non-coding RNA, 154 nt
Filed under: Paenibacillus nuruki
Lineage: Bacteria; Bacillati; Bacillota; Bacilli; Caryophanales; Paenibacillaceae
Description: Paenibacillus sp. TI45-13ar Bacterial small subunit ribosomal RNA
Rfam family: Bacterial small subunit ribosomal RNA
Source: Rfam by way of RNAcentral
UUUAUGGAGAGUUUGAUCCUGGCUCAGGACGAACGCUGGCGGCGUGCCUAAUACAUGCAAGUCGAGCGGAGUUGAUGAGAAGCUUGCUUCUCGGAUACGGAGAGGCGGACCUGCGACUGAACACAAAACGACACCGACAAACAACCAACACCGA